RNAcentral lists this ribosomal RNA (400 nucleotides) under phytoplankton environmental sample. RNAcentral's name for it is "partial small subunit ribosomal RNA". It matches the Rfam family "Eukaryotic small subunit ribosomal RNA", at positions 587 to 974 of the family's 1831-position model. The record is from RNAcentral.
AGCUCCAAUAGCGUAUAUUAAAGUUGCUGCAGUUAAAAAGCUCGUAGUUGGAUUUGUGGGAUGGCCGUCCGGCGGGGGGCCUUUCAUGGUCCCGUUUGUCCUGGUUUUCGGCCUUCCCUUUCUCGGGUCUAGCGUAUUGGCUGGCAUUAGGUUGUCGGCCGCUUCGCGCCCGUCGUUUACUGUGAAAAAAUUAGAGUGCUCAAAGCAGGCUUUACACGCUUGAAUAUUCGUGCAUGGAAUAAUAGAAUAGGAUGUGAUUUCUAUUUUGUUGGUUUUCGGAAAUUCACAUAAUGAUUAAUAGGGACAGUCGGGGGCAUUAGUAUUCAGACGAUAGAGGUGAAAUUCUUGGACCGUCUGAGGACUAACUACUGCGAAAGCAUUUGCCAAGAAUGUUUUCAUU